RNAcentral lists this ribosomal RNA (492 nucleotides) under uncultured bacterium. Its description in RNAcentral is "partial 16S ribosomal RNA". It matches the Rfam family "Bacterial small subunit ribosomal RNA", at positions 29 to 507 of the family's 1533-position model. The record is from RNAcentral.
AGUGAACGCUGGCGGUAGGCCUAACACAUGCAAGUCGAACGGCAGCACAGUAAGAGCUUGCUCUUACGGGUGGCGAGUGGCGGACGAGUGAGGAAUACAUCGGAAUCUACUUUUUCGUGGGGGAUAACGUAGGGAAACUUACGCUAAUACCGCAUACGACCUACGGGUGAAAGCAGGGGAUCUUCGGACCUUGCGCGAUUGAAUGAGCCGAUGUCGGAUUAGCUAGUUGGCGGGGUAAAGGCCCACCAAGGCGACGAUCCGUAGCUGGUCUGAGAGGAUGAUCAGCCACACUGGAACUGAGACACGGUCCAGACUCCUAUGGGAGGCAGCAGUGGGGAAUAUUGGACAAUGGGCGCAAGCCUGAUCCAGCCAUACCGCGUGGGUGAAGAAGGCCUUCGGGUUGUAAAGCCCUUUUGUUGGGAAAGAAAAGCAGCAGGUUAAUACCCCGCUGUUCUGACGGUACCCAAAGAAUAAGCACCGGCUAACUUCGUG